This 68-nucleotide transfer RNA is filed under the name Marmota monax (woodchuck). Its description in RNAcentral is "tRNA.Ala". Lineage: Eukaryota; Metazoa; Chordata; Mammalia; Rodentia; Sciuridae. The record is from RNAcentral.
GGAAUGUAGCUCAGUGGUAAAGUACUUGCCUGGCAUGUGCAAGGCUCUGGGUUUGAUCCCUAGCACCA